Molecule: long non-coding RNA, 1439 nt
Organism: Gorilla gorilla gorilla (western lowland gorilla)
Lineage: Eukaryota; Metazoa; Chordata; Mammalia; Primates; Hominidae
Exons: 3
Source: RefSeq, a predicted model, not a curated record
AAAAUGGAAGGUCCAGGUCCUCAGGCCGCCACGGUUUGUGUCAGCUCAUUGCUGCACCGGAAGCUCGGAAUGUGCUCAUUGGGUCAAGGACUUGAGACUUCCCGUAGUGGCUUUGUGUCGUCACAGCCCAUUUUCUCAGUCUGUGUCAGAGGCCUAGAGGCUCUCACUAUGGCAUGGACUCUCAUCCUCGAGCCCCACUACUCAGAGGAGCUGGGAAGAAUUUCCACCCUUCCUAGUGGCAAGUCUCACUGUGAGAGCAGAGUGCCACCAGGCAAACAGGGCAGAGAGACUGCUUUAAGGAGAAUCCUUAUAUUGGGGGUUAUGAAGUGCAGUACACCCUCAUCCUCACGCUAACACUGGUACCAUGUAGCCCAGGCUUGUCUAACCUGCAGCCCGCGGACUGUGUAUGGCCCAGAACAGCUUUGAAUGUGGCCCAAUGCAAAUUUGUGAACUUUCUAAGACAUUCUGAGAUUUUUUUUUUUUUCUCAUCAGCUAUCAUUAGUGUGAGUGUAUGUUAUUUGUGACUCAAGACAAUUCUUCUUUUCCAAUGUGGCCCAGAGAAGCCAAAAGACUGGACAGCCCUGAUGUGGCCCUUUCAUCCAUGGUAGCCUAUUUUGUCCUAAAGACGGUCUUGUGCAGUGAGUAGGCCAGGCCUCCCCACUACCACAGUUUACAGGCAAGGAAUGUGAUAUUUCACAGGAUGACCCUGACUGGCACCUACAUUGCUAGCCAAAGAAUGGCACAAAGAUGUGGACAGAAGAGACAACCUUAAGCAGCUGACUGCUGGCUCCUGCAACAGUAUCAUCAUGGCAUUUGUCCUGGGGUCCCAAGGAAAGAAAACAAAUCUGCGGCUGAGGAACAGGCUGAGUUGACAAAGCAGCUUCCACAGUAACACAAGGACAAAGGGUGUAUGUAGAUAUGCACGUGGUAGCAGGUUCUACUAAAGGAACCUGGACCGACCAUUCUCACUCACAUUCUUUGGGAGCUGUAUUCUAAUACUUUCAGAAAAGCCAUGGGAACACACCAGAGUGACUGCUCGAGUAAAUAAGUAGCAUAAACAGCAAGCCAAACCAUUGAUGUACACAUCACUAGGCCCAAUACUAUGAAAUCCCACAUAAGAAACUUGAAAGUGAAAGCUGGAAUUCUGAGGAUACUGGUUUUGCUUAAUAAACAGCAUUUCAACAGUUAUUGUCAUGAUAUUGCUACUGAUGCUGAACAAAGACCCAAGAACCAGGGUGAUGUUUAGCAUGGGCUGGCCUCAGCAGGACUGAAAGGACAUCAAUAAAGGAGAAGAGAGAGAAGGAAGGAGGACAAGUGCCAACUUUGAGCAGGUAUCAGGUGUAUGUGGGGGCAAACCAUUUCUCCGUCCACCCUGAUGAUGAGUCCCCGUUUCCCUUUUUAAGGCCUGAUUUUUGCACCCUCACCCCACCUAAGGCAGC